This 254-nucleotide ribosomal RNA is filed under the name uncultured bacterium. RNAcentral's name for it is "partial 16S ribosomal RNA". It matches the Rfam family "Bacterial small subunit ribosomal RNA", at positions 524 to 776 of the family's 1533-position model. The record is from RNAcentral.
UACGUAGGGUGCGAGCGUUAAUCGGAAUUACUGGGCGUAAAGCGUGCACAGGCGGUAAGUUAAGUCUGAUGUGAAAGCCCCGGGCUCAACCUGGGAAUGGCAUUGGAAACUGGCUUGCUAGAGUGUGGCAGAGGGGGGUGGAAUUCCGCGUGUAGCAGUGAAAUGCGUAGAGAUGCGGAGGAACACCGAUGGCGAAGGCAGCCCCCUGGGCCGACACUGACGCUCAGGCACGAAAGCGUGGGGGAGCGAACAGG